UACGUAGGUGGCAAGCGUUGUCCGGAAUUACUGGGUGUAAAGGGAGCGUAGGCGGGGUAUCAAGUCAGAAGUGAAAAUUAUGGGCUCAACUCAUAACCUGCUUUUGAAACUGAUACUCUUGAGUGAAGUAGAGGCAAGCGGAAUUCCUAGUGUAGCGGUGAAAUGCAUAGAUAUUAGGAGGAACACCAGUGGCGAAGGCGGCUUGCUGGGCUUUUACUGACGCUGAGGCUCGAAAGCGUGGGGAGCAAACAGG
RNAcentral lists this ribosomal RNA (253 nucleotides) under uncultured bacterium. RNAcentral's name for it is "partial 16S ribosomal RNA". It matches the Rfam family "Bacterial small subunit ribosomal RNA", at positions 524 to 776 of the family's 1533-position model. The record is from RNAcentral.